CCCAGCAUAGGCGCGCAUAGGCACGGAGGCGGAGUCCCGCUGCCGGACGGGUGGCCUCUGUCCGGGCGUCUCGACCACCCGGGUGGGAGGGUGGGGAAGCCAGGGCCCACCUAAGGGCCCUAGGGGGCAGGGUUUGUGGCCGCCCCGCGUCUCGCCCCCUCCAGGUGCAGCGCGGCUUUCACCCGCCAGAGGGCGCCCGGAGAACGCUCCCGGGACCUAUGCGCACCCACCCGGGAAGCGGCCCGUCUCACUCCUUCUCUCCUCGUAGAAUUGGCCCGGAAACCUCCCGGCGGUGUCGCGGAGUCCUAACUAUCCACGGCCACACCCCUCCUUCCUCCUCGCCUGCUCUGAUCCACAAGACGGACCCACGAGGGCUGGAAAGCUCAAGCCGGUAUAGCUCUCACCCUCUGUGACCACCCCAGGGGCCACAGGCCUCUCCUGGGCACCAAGCCCUUCCUCACCCCUCUCUCCAGGACCCUACCAGAAUCGGAACCAGCCAGCCAGGCAGGAGGGAGGCUUGGAAAGGAGCUGCAACAAGAACAGACAUACUUCUUGGACUGUGUAUCAGUGGGGAUAGGCGGCCCCCCAGCUCUUCCCCACCCUGGUUCUCCCUUCUUGGCUCCCCUGGUUGAGGGGCCUCUGUCCAUUUGUCCAGGCUCAUGAUGCUGCUGUGGGGCCUGGAGGCCCCUGGCACCUGGGGAGGAGGGGUGGGCCCACAGCUGGGAACAGGAGAGUCUUUCAUCCAGAGGAGAGCAGGGGGAAGCCACAGGGCACCUCCCUCAGCUCUCCCAGCUGGGCCCGCAGUCCUUGCCCCGAGAAAGCCUCCACACUGGCCCCAGCCCUCUGCCAUGUGGACCUGUAGGAAGUGUCUGGGCCAAGUCCCACCCAAUCUCCACCUGUAGGUCCACUAGAGACACAGCCCCUCAGCCUAGCCCCCCAGCCCGACAGGCUGGCAUCUCAGGCUCAGGGCAUCUCCAAGACAGACACACCUGGGUCUAUGCCUUAGCACUUCACAGCUGGGUGUCUAAUGGAGCUUGU
Felis catus (domestic cat) is the source of this 1038-nucleotide long non-coding RNA. RefSeq lists it as uncharacterized. The transcript is spliced from 2 exons. NCBI's taxonomy places the organism in Eukaryota, Metazoa, Chordata, Mammalia, Carnivora, Felidae. The record is from RefSeq and is a predicted model, not a curated record.